GCCUCCGUGGUGGAAUUGGUAGACGCGCUGGACUCAAAAUCCAGUGGUAGCAAUACCAUGUCGGUUCGAGUCCGACCGGAGGCACCA
Molecule: transfer RNA, 87 nt
Filed under: Mollicutes bacterium
Lineage: Bacteria; Bacillati; Mycoplasmatota; Mollicutes
Description: tRNA-Leu
Rfam family: tRNA
About the family: Transfer RNA (tRNA) molecules are approximately 80 nucleotides in length.
Source: RNAcentral